Molecule: long non-coding RNA, 917 nt
Organism: Drosophila mojavensis
Lineage: Eukaryota; Metazoa; Arthropoda; Insecta; Diptera; Drosophilidae
Exons: 2
Source: RefSeq, a predicted model, not a curated record
ACGUAGCGUCAGCAGCGACGUCAGCAGCGAGAUCGUGCGCGUCACAGCUGUCAUUAAAACAACAUUAAAACUAAAGCAAACAGUGGCCCAACAAAUUAAACUCACACAUAUAAAAAACAACGAAAAUGACAAAACAAAGUAAAUAACACUCUCCAAUGGAUCCCAAUUCGAUACAAAAUAAAUAUUAACAAAAGGCAAGGCCAAGCACAAACACAUUCGCGAUCGCACGGAAGCUAAGUGUUGGAAAACGCUGACGUCUUUGGAGAGUUCUGCACCGAGCGUUGAGUUCAAGCUAAAAAGUCAAAGGAAUUCUUAGACCAAAGGAAAUGUUGUCUAUUAGCAAAACUUUCAUUAAAACUUUUCCAAUUUCUAAGCAAAAUAACAGUAAAACUAAAAAGCUCCUCGAAUUCUAUGCUAAUUGUGACUAAUUGGCGAGCUCUGCCAGCUCCGCUAUUUGGGUACAGUUGUCAACACGUUGCCAGUUAAUCAAUCAAUCAGUCAAUCAAUCAAUCAAUCCCCUUGGCCAUGUACCACGCUAAGUAGGCCAAAUGAUAGCGAAAAAGCAAUCGAACAAGAGAAAAUCGAAUUGGCACAUUCACUGGGAUGCUUGAAAAAAGAAGAAGAGGAAAAACAUACAAACAAAAAAUUAACAUAGCUCAGCUGAAGAAAGCUGCAAUAAGGCAAAAGAAAGCUGCGGAAUUUUAGCAAUGCGGCCAACACGAUGGCCAAUGGCCUCCCCAAGCGCCAACACAAGGCCUUAACAGCCAGACCAGUCUAACUCUACAGAGAGGGAGAGGGAGAAAAAGAAAGACAGAAGCGAGAGCAAAAGAGAGAAACAAGUGAAGAUCGUUCAUUGCCGUAAGAAAAAAUCAACAAAAAAUGUUGAAAUAAAAACAUAAAUGUAUAUAAAUAUAUAA